Molecule: ribosomal RNA, 762 nt
Filed under: Acinetobacter baumannii
Lineage: Bacteria; Pseudomonadati; Pseudomonadota; Gammaproteobacteria; Moraxellales; Moraxellaceae
Description: bacterial SSU rRNA
Rfam family: Bacterial small subunit ribosomal RNA
Source: RNAcentral
CAGACUCCUACGGGAGGCAGCAGUGGGGAAUAUUGGACAAUGGGGGGAACCCUGAUCCAGCCAUGCCGCGUGUGUGAAGAAGGCCUUAUGGUUGUAAAGCACUUUAAGCGAGGAGGAGGCUACUUUAGUUAAUACCUAGAGAUAGUGGACGUUACUCGCAGAAUAAGCACCGGCUAACUCUGUGCCAGCAGCCGCGGUAAUACAGAGGGUGCGAGCGUUAAUCGGAUUUACUGGGCGUAAAGCGUGCGUAGGCGGCUUAUUAAGUCGGAUGUGAAAUCCCCGAGCUUAACUUGGGAAUUGCAUUCGAUACUGGUGAGCUAGAGUAUGGGAGAGGAUGGUAGAAUUCCAGGUGUAGCGGUGAAAUGCGUAGAGAUCUGGAGGAAUACCGAUGGCGAAGGCAGCCAUCUGGCCUAAUACUGACGCUGAGGUACGAAAGCAUGGGGAGCAAACAGGAUUAGAUACCCUGGUAGUCCAUGCCGUAAACGAUGUCUACUAGCCGUUGGGGCCUUUGAGGCUUUAGUGGCGCAGCUAACGCGAUAAGUAGACCGCCUGGGGAGUACGGUCGCAAGACUAAAACUCAAAUGAAUUGACGGGGGCCCGCACAAGCGGUGGAGCAUGUGGUUUAAUUCGAUGCAACGCGAAGAACCUUACCUGGCCUUGACAUACUAGAAACUUUCCAGAGAUGGAUUGGUGCCUUCGGGAAUCUAGAUACAGGUGCUGCAUGGCUGUCGUCAGCUCGUGUCGUGAGAUGUUGGGUUAAGU